Molecule: long non-coding RNA, 1730 nt
Filed under: Mus musculus (house mouse)
Lineage: Eukaryota; Metazoa; Chordata; Mammalia; Rodentia; Muridae
Description: long non-coding RNA chr4:59224685-59226415
Source: RNAcentral
UGUCAUGGAUGAUCGAAUGGGACAAGGUCAGUGAGGUCAGGAGCAGGUACCAUCCCCAGUGUGGCUGGAUCUCCAUUCACGGUGAGCUGUCUCAUACAGUGAGUAUGACAUUUUCAUGUAGGAGUAGCAUCCUUGUGUUUUUCUUAAUAUGUAUUUCAUUUUAUAAGAGAGAAAAGGGGAGUUUUCAGAGCUAAAAGCUGAUUCUGCCUCCUGACAAUGCCCAUUUGCCUCUUUUGCUAAAGAAACUUGUAAGGAAAGGCAUCUCUGGGGGGUGGGAGGGGCAGAUUCAGCAGGGUGGAGCCACAGAAGUGAAACAUCUGGGCUUAGGAGGGCAUGAAGAAGAAACGAAAGUCAUGACACAUGUAUUUAGAAGCUGCAAAGACACAUUUUCCAUCCAAAGUUCCAGCAAUACUGGGUGACACCAAAGAUACUGACUUGAAUUCUCAAGAAAAAUUCUUUGCACAUGUGCACACAUACACACACACCAGCCCUGGCCACAACGGUGUGGCUCAUUGCCCACUUGGACGGCAUUUGGCUUAACUUCAGCUUAAUAUCGGGCUUUGGCUUUCUGACUUCAUUGUUUUUAAAUACUGAAGUUUUGAAACAAUAGAUAAGGUUUCAUUUUUGCACACCCAAUUGUGAGCCACUGAAAUGUCACCCAUUUCUUGAGAAUGUAAUAGUAGUAUAUUCCUAUAAUAUCACAGAGAAUGGAAAACUGAAGCAGGAGGAUCUCCAGCAAUAUACAGUGAGUUCAAGGCCAGCCUGGGCUCUACAACAAGAUCUUCCCUUAAUAAAAUCAUACAGAAAUUUCUUAACCUUAUCUAAAUAAUUUCUUUGCAAGGGCAGGGGCGCAGAGACAGGGCUUCUCUACAGAGUCCUCUACAUAGCCCUGGCUGUAUUGAAAGUCACUGUGUAGACCAAGCUGGCCUCAAACUCUCAGAGAUGAGCUUGCCCAUGCCUCCUGUGUUAUUUUACAUGACUUUUUAUUUUAACCAUAUAAACAAUUUAUGUGACCAAACAGAAGUCUUUACUCUUCCAAACUCAAUAUUUAGGGUAAGUAAUGUUUCCUCAAGGAAAAGAUAGGAUAGGAAUGGAAAUAAUUAACAUUUGUACAAGCCAGCAGCCAGUGCUCUUAGCCACGGAACCAUCUCUCCGGCCCUCGGUUUUAACUUUCAAGUAAGAGUAUUUUCAUGCUCCGUUUUCAUUUUGGAGACAAACGGCAUUGGUGCUGCGCUCUCUGUCGCCAUGAACUUUGCUAGUAUUUGCUGGUACAAACUCUGGGCUCCAGAGGUAGGCUGUGCUAAUUGUGCAGUCUUUGCCGAAGGAAAAAAAAAACAAAACCAAAAACAAAACCAGCAGCUGGGCAUGGUAGCACACACCUUUAAUCCCAGUGCUUGGGAAGCAGAGGCAGGCAGAUCUCUGAGUCUGAGGCCAGCUUGGUCUACAUAGUGAGUUUCAGGAUAGCCUGGGCUACGUAGAGCAGUAGAUCAACUUCAGUAAGUCAUGACCCGCUUUGAGGGACACUCACUCUCACAGGGGUUGCCUAAGAUACCAGAAAAUAGGUAUUUACAUUACUAUUUAUAACAGUAGAAAAAUUACAGCUAUGGAGUAGCAAUGAGAAUUAUUUUAUGGCUGGGGGUCACCACAAGGUGAGGAGCUGUAUCAAAGUAAAGAGUCUCAGGAGUAGGAAGGUUGAGAACCACUGAUGUAGAGAGACCCAAGUGUAUCUC